CCGAACAAGUCGUCGGGAAAUCCACGUGCUUAACGCGUGGGCGACCGGCGGAAACUGUUCGGCUUGGGGCCGGAGGACCCGAGGGGUACGUCCGGGGUAGGAGUGAAAUCCUGUAAUCCUGGACGGACCGCCGGUGGCGAAAGCGCCUCGGGAAGACGGACCCGACAGUGAGGGACGAAAGCUGGGAUCUCGAACCGGAU
RNAcentral lists this ribosomal RNA (200 nucleotides) under uncultured archaeon. Its description in RNAcentral is "partial 16S ribosomal RNA". It matches the Rfam family "Archaeal small subunit ribosomal RNA", at positions 529 to 729 of the family's 1478-position model. The record is from RNAcentral.